This 211-nucleotide long non-coding RNA is filed under the name Pan troglodytes (chimpanzee). Its description in RNAcentral is "long non-coding RNA NONPTRT016158". The record is from RNAcentral. Lineage: Eukaryota; Metazoa; Chordata; Mammalia; Primates; Hominidae.
UCUUGAUUUUCAUCUUACGUGUUUCUGAGCUUGGACCAAUAGGCAAAAAUUUAGGGAGGUCUGUUUCAGUUACAGGGAAGGAUGACCUUUCCAUGAGUAACAUCUGUCUAAGGUGGAAUAACUCCUGCACUUUCAAAAGCCUUGUUGCUUUUAAUCCCCUCUACAACCUCCUGAUCCCCAUUUUACAGGUCUGAAAACCAAGGCUCAGGAG